ACGAAACAACCAGCUAAUCAAAGUGUCAUUUCCAAAAACAAAUUAUACUACACAAGUUCUGAGUAUGUGAUAUGACCGAGGAAGAAAUAGAAGCAGACCAACAACCUAAACGGCUAAAAUCUAAAUCUUCAAUGUAUAUCCUCUAAAGGAACGAUGUCUACAGUAUUUGUCACAAAUAGUGAAACAGGAGAACAUAGAAGAAUUAGAUCUACCAAGAAAUAUAUUAACAGACUUAGAGGAUAAGUUUGAAACAUUUACCAGGAGAAAUA
Mytilus californianus (California mussel) is the source of this 269-nucleotide long non-coding RNA. RefSeq lists it as uncharacterized. The transcript is spliced from 3 exons. NCBI's taxonomy places the organism in Eukaryota, Metazoa, Mollusca, Bivalvia, Mytilida, Mytilidae. The record is from RefSeq and is a predicted model, not a curated record.